GCGGCUAUGGUUUAGUGGCAGAAUACGUCCUUGCCAAGGACGGGACGCGAGUUCGAUUCUCGCUAGCCGCACAA
RNAcentral lists this transfer RNA (74 nucleotides) under Patescibacteria group bacterium. RNAcentral's name for it is "tRNA-Gly". It matches the Rfam family "tRNA". From Rfam's summary of the family: Transfer RNA (tRNA) molecules are approximately 80 nucleotides in length. The record is from RNAcentral.